Molecule: long non-coding RNA, 9431 nt
Organism: Bombus huntii
Lineage: Eukaryota; Metazoa; Arthropoda; Insecta; Hymenoptera; Apidae
Exons: 4
Source: RefSeq, a predicted model, not a curated record
UUAGCCUCGUAAUUCAAUGGCAUCGAUUAUCUUCGCUUCAUUCUUGUUCAUGUUAAAUCUACUUGGUAUACACGUAAUGAUGCACUGCAAUGAUUUGCUAGAAAUGCUUACAGAACAUCCACUGAUCGGUAUGGAUUGUAUGAUAAAAACAUCUUAAAACAAUGAAUUACGUAUUUUACAAAUCUGCACAUUCCUUCGAAGAGAAAUCAUCAAGGGCCUUUCUAUAAUUGUAAUUACAACCAAUUAAAGUUAUCUGAAAAAUACAUCAAAGUGUUGAUUUUCUAGUCUAAUAGAAAGACGUAUACGAAACUUGAAAAUUGUUUCCUUUCGAUUUUCUUGUUUGAAAAAUACUUUAGCCUUUAAAUUAUUUGUUACAGGCUCCGUUUAAAACUUGAAAAUAUUUCCAAUCUUUCAAUGGAAACAUACCUUCGCCUAGAUUUACUACAGAGAACUACAUAUUUAAAGUUUGAAAGUUAUUCAUCUCAGUUUGAAAAAUACUUUUUAAAGUAUAAGUUUAAUACUUGAAAAUUGUCCACCUCAAAUGCUUCAAGUGAGAAGAUAGUUUCAGAAUCUGUAAAAAAAUCUGCUUCAGACCUUGAAACAUAUUCGACUGAAAUUUGUUGAUUAUAAGAAAAUUAAGAUACCUGACGUCCUAAAUGUUUAAUUUCCAGAACAGAAGAUUGUUCGACUGAAAUUCCUUCAAUAUCAAAAGAAAUUAAAUUCGUGUCUAAUUCUCUGUCACAAAAACUGUAUUACAAAUAAUUUCAACCACAGAAUUACCGAAAAACUAUUUGUGCACGAGUCAACAUUUAGGAUUCAUCUAAUCUGCAUGCUAUUAGCGAAAAUGAUCUGUUGCGUCUCGCUCGAACACAAUAAUUAAUUCGAGACUAAUUAAACGGUGAUUAAUGAGCCUGCGACUAAUCUAUCAACUUCGAAUAGAGACAGGCCUGAAUUCGCUUUCAGCUAAAAGUGGAAUCAGAUUUAAUAACUGGAGCGCCGAGGAAGAAUCCUCGAUUAUCCUUCGAAGUCGAUUACUCAUGGUGAUCCUUGACACGGAACGUCUUUUUGCAUGAAACAAUCGACCAUUAAGAGUCAGUCGCGACCUAUGGCGUUAAACGUCAUGCAAGAAAUUGCAGUUGCGUUACAUCGUUCGACGAAUUAUUUGCUGUGAUAUAGACGUUGGUUGGUUUGGACAUUUAAGCCGUCGAUUAUAAUUAGAUAGAAACGACGUGACCGAACUGCAAUUUGCGACCAAUUGCACGCCUGUCAUGAUAACAAAAACAGUUAAUUGAAUUGCAUCUCUUGUAUCUCUUGUAUCAUGGCUUUAUCAGCCAUUGGAACACGAAUGCAAGAAAAUUAUUUUCUUGGUGAUGGUAUCGCUUUAGGAAUCGUGCAGUUUCUUUGGGAAAAUUUAUUUCUUAGUCUUUAAAAGCUUAAUUGUUAUACAAGGAUUUUUAUUUGAAGAAAAAUCGUGAAAAAUGUAUUACGAAUUACAAAUUUUUCGGGCUUGCUUUGGUCCUUCAUCCUCGAGUUCUGUUCGAUUUCUGUGCAACAGGAAAAUGUUAACACGUUCGGGUAAAACGAGAUCAAGGCGAGAAUAAAAAAUAAGAGGAAUAUUAAAAGUAAGCAUAUUUUAUAUCGAAGAAAUUCCUUUACUGUGUAAUUUUGCACACUUCUCUUCUAAUUUUGUAUACUUCUAUGUAUUUCACAUAAUACAAAAUAAUAUUCAUAAGUUAUGGGAAAAAUAAUGAUCUCCUCCCCUCGUUAUAUAUUUACGUAUUUGUAUAUUCUACAUAGGCCAACACAAUAUUCAUAAAUUAUUGGAAGAACGAUCUCUACAUUCUCCAUUACACUCUCCAUUACAACACUCAUAUAUUAUACAAAAAAGUCUCUAUUUUCCCCAUUACACAUUUACAUACUUCUAUAAUUCAAAUAAGGAUAUAAGAAAAGAGAUUAUUUUUAUUUUCCCCACUGCGUAUUUGCAUAUUUCUAUAUUCCGUACAAUCCAAAGCACAUGCCAAAUUACAAAUAAAAUUAUCUUAUCGAAAACGUUCUUUCCUCCGUAGACCUCCAAUAUCAAGACACGUAAGUCGAAGCAACUUCCUUGCGCUACUGUUUACCCUGUGUUUCUCUCUCUCUCUCUCUCUCUCUCUCUCUCUGUCCCGCAAGUGAGAGAAAAGGAAAAAUGAGAACGCUGCAUAAUCUUGUGCUACAUUUUGUGGUUUAAAGUUACCAAAAAUAUCCCGUAUCCGGACACUCCAGCAGGCUGUAAAGUGUAAGACCCCGUCUCCACGUGGGUGGUCGGAUCUCCCUAGGACUCACAAUCCUUUGCUGCUUUCCUAGAAAUUCGAGAUUUCCAAAGGGAGCAAAGAAAAAAGAAAAAGUUGGGAAGCUGAAGGGAAGAGAAAAAAAAAAUUAGUGGAGCGGGGCGGGGGAAGGAGGGGGAGAAGACAAAAAGGAACGAGUGUAUAACAGGCGCGUGACUAGAAACAAAGAACUUAAAGAGAAAAAGGAAAGAAGAAGAAGAAGUAGAAGAGAAGAAGAAGAAGAAAAAGGGUGUCGUGUACACACUGGAAAUUGCGUUCACGAUACAGUCAAUGGUGGAUCGCGUGUAGGUUAAAGUUAAUGGCCCCGCAGUGGCUGUCCAAUGGACAGGAGAACGCGUUUUCAGUGAAAGCGCCGACUUUUAUGAACUCUUCGGGACACUUUAUUGCCGGCUUUGGCUUUUUUAGAUGCACGAUACCUGAAUUCCACAUAGAUAGACCCGUCACCGUGAAACGUCUUUGAGGUAAUAAAAAGGAUUAUGGGCUGGCCGAAUGCCGGGAACCGCCGUGAAACUAUUAAGCCGGCAUAAAUCAUGUUUCGUGAACGCGUCUAAUCCAUAAGCCUAAAAAGAUAAAGUCUCGUCGAGCAACUGCCCCGAAGAAGAUACGUCGAUUCCGUUAGCGAUCGAACCCGAUGAUGAAUCAAACGUUUCGCUCGUAGGUUUUUAAAGGAUGAGAGUGGCGUUGUGUGGGAUAAAGAUCGACAGGUUAGGAUACGACAACUAACCUUAAAAGACGCGGUCAAACAAUGCACGUAAAAAUGUACAUUCGUCGUUAUUUCUUUCGUUCAUCUAACUUUAUGUAGACUCUCGCAUUAACAGAAAUUGAGAAAUUGAUUGAUCAGAUUAAUUUUCAUGAAGUUAGAUGAACGAAAGAAAUAACGAUGAACGUGGAAUUUUUCUUUAAAUUUUCAAACGAAAAAUAUUUUUGGCCUGUAAGAUACGACAAUAGCGGAUGACUUGACUUGCGUAAUUUCACCUAUUCGAAUUAAGCAUUCCUUCUAGUAAAAUAAUCAUGGAAUUGGUAUUAAAAUUUCGCUGUCGUAUAACGAAUAUUAAUAGGAUGAAAUUUAAUUUUCGUAACGAGGAGAGUCGAAAAACAAGUCGUACGAGAAGACCGCGUUGGUCAUUAAUAGAACCUAGCUGGUUGAAAAGAGGAGUCUGAAAAAGGACAAGCAGUUUCGGUCUGAAAGGUCGCAAAAAAAUUUUUCGCACUAGAAUUCCAAGAAAACGGUCAUAUAUCAAAGGUGGAACUGAAACAAUAAUUACGUUGCUGCUGUAAUAUUUUAACAAAAAUUUGAAACACAGUAGAAUCUAGGCGAACGUUUCAUCGAUACGUUUCGUGGAAAUAAUAAUUCUCAAUGAUGGAAGAGUACAUCUUUUAUUACCUGACCAUUUCUUACAUUCUUUAUUAUUACGAGAAAGAUAUUUCAUAUUGCGGAAUAUCGAAUUGGAGUUAAUAUUACAGCGGAAAACAGCACAGCUAUAUGCACUUAGUGACAAAAGUUAGGGAGCAUAAUGAAUGGAAAAUUACUGUAUGUUUUUCAUCUUCCAAGAUACAUUAGCUGGUAUAUUGUAUUAAAAAUACAAUAAAGACAUAACAGUCCAUAUAUGGACGUACAAUAAGUUCCAAUGUUAAAUAUUUAAAACGAAUACAAAAUUGUGAAAUUUGGCGAUCCUGGUCCUCUAACUAAUAAUGGAAACUAUAGACAGAUUCGUGUAUGAUAAAUAUAAACAUACAAUCUAUUUUUCGAAUUUUAGUAAUUUUAGUAAUUAAUUUAUUCAUGCCGUGAGGUGAAAUAGGUUAAGGGUCACCGCUGUUCUUUUUUUUAUUAUUUAAUUUGUACUUUACAUUCGGAUUUGUACAUAUGGACAUUCGGUAAAUUUUUCUAGCUUCACCGCUAUGUUACCAACUUAUUGCUCAUCUCGUUUUGCGUCGGCAUGUUCCAUAUUUCCAAUUCCAUUUUACGAUAUUAAAGAGCAUCGAACGGCGGCCAUGCGUUUCGAUGUAAAUCGUACUCGACGCUGUCACCGCAUUCGAUAGGUAGACGGCCGACGAACAAGCAUCGUUACUCCGUUAAAGUAGCUUCUGGCUAUCAUUAUCUCUUCUCGAGAGUCAAUCUGACGCAGCAAUAUAGGAAGCUGGCCUUUAAGAAAGCGCACACGUGUUGGGUUGAAGACAGGUAGCCAACUUCGAAUGUUCCCACACGUGGUUUUAGUCACGUCCAUAAUUAAUGCGUGACACGGUACAACUGAAUACACAAAAUCGUUCGUUUUAUCUGAAGAACCGAGGAAUCGUAAAGUACGUUUCUUCGACAGCCAUUUAUGUCCCCUUGUGUCUGUCUAGUCUGUGUAGCUGUGUCGCGCAACAGCUCCACUCUGUUAAUUUAACCGUGGAGCGAUAUGGAUUUUCUAACGUUUCCAUCGAACAGAAACGAGUUUAUUCGACGUUGCUGAUAGAUAAGAUAGAAGAGUGGAAUUUUCAAACGGCACGCUUAUCCCAAUUUAUCAGUGAGGUAAUCGUUCAUUGAUUUAAUUCGUAGUAGCAUUCGGCGGUUGUAUCGAGAAGCUGAUUUCCUCGAAUAGGUUAGGAUAUCUAGGAUAUCUAAAUAGAAUAUCUAAAUUUUGUAAAUAUAUUUUACAAGUAUAGGACAAUUGAAUCUACUGCAAUUGAUUACUUCUGGCAAAAAAAAAGAAAAAAGAUGAAAAUGUGACUUAUCAUAUCAUUACAGACACCAAUAGAUUUCGCAUAAAAGUUAACUCUACUUGUAAACAAUUCGAAGAAAAGAUUGGCUAUUGUGGACCAACGAUCAACAAAAAUCUUUCUUCUCUACUGUCUACGAAGACAUUUGGCAUAUUAUUAUUCUGGGGAUUUGUGAAUAAUCAUCUCCAUUCAGAUGCCAUUGCGGACUGACAAUGCGCAUAUAUAUAUUCGUACACAUGCGUAGUGACAGUCAAGUUUUUUUUAUGCCACACUGCUGGAAUUUUACCGAAUGUCCAGCUGGACAAAUUGUAAAGUACAAAUUAAAUAAUAAAAAAAAACUACUGGAACUUUAGUGUCGAAUUUUCAUUUAAUUUCGAAUUUCUUCGUUCCUAAUACACCAUGAAGCGUUCUAAGCUUGCAGUUAUUCCAUCUUCCGUAUGUAGCUUUCUAGUGCUGUUUUAUAUCUACUGCUUUUAUAUAUUUUUAAUUUAUUGUCCGUACAAGAGGAAGGUUAAAUGUUUUUUUUUAUUUUAAUUUCUGCUUUACAGUUUGUCCAGCAGGGCAUUUGGUAAAUUUGUCUAACUAGGUUAAAUGUGUGGCUGAUUAGCCAGUACAUUUUAAUGUCUAGAUAUUCCACAAGAGUAAGAACAAAAUGUAAUUUUUAUAUUUCUCUGCUGCGAUCUCUUUGUAUCUUCAAAUUUAUAAGAAGAAUAUAAUUAUUGUAACAGCAUCUUAAAUCUUAUCGGUGAUUUUCCAGUCUAACUGGCAACAACUUGUUUAAACGUUUCAGCAUAUUUAACGAGAGUUGUUUAUUAUUGAAACGAAGGUACUCGCGAUUAUGCGAAUUCAAAGGCAUCGAAUAAACCUCGCCACGGGUCGUUCGUAUAUUAUGCAUUAUGUACGUAUCCCAACAACGAUCAGCAACGUGACAAACGUCGUGAAAGCAGGCGAAGCGAGGAAAUCCGACGAGGACCGGUGGAAUUCAACAAAACGGGUCGGUAACACGCGAACCCCAUAAAGCAGUAUGAGGCAUGACUUUACGACCCUUGCAAUCUCACUUUCUUUCCCUGUUUCGCGCGUGAACAUGGGCAACAAGCGACACCGCGAUCGACAUUAUUAGGUUAGAAACUAAGUAGUGCCAACCCAAUAAGAAAAUCGAGCUCAAUGCGACACCGGUGCAAUUCGUCAGCUUUGUACGAAGUGUUAUAGGGAAUUAAUGUUAUAGUUUUUACCAACUUCAGUAAUUUUCAGCAAUAAAACUACACGCAGAGAUACGCUUUCAAAGAAGCAAACUGCUCGCCACACAAAACUUCGUCCAUUUAAUCGUCCCAAAAAAAGAAAAGAAAAGACAUCGCUACAAAGUGGAAUUUUGUAGAUAAGAUUUCAGUCUUCUCUCGAUCGGCUCUCCGCUCGGAAAAAAAACUGACACGAGAUCAUUAGACUGCACAAUGUACGCUACACGAAGGCUUAAUUUACGCGUUCUCGUUCACCAAACGAUCCCUUCUCCCGGUAAUUGUUAUCGUUGUUCCAUUAAAUUACGAUAAUUGGCGUAGAUACGGUGAUCCUGGCGAGGGUUCGCGCGCGUUACGCGUUCACUUUCGCGGACUGUCACGUGGCUAAGCUAUAUACGCGUUUCUCGCGCUGCAACCGGCCGGCUAUCGUGGUUAUUAAGGAAACAGACGAAGGAACGAAACGAAGGAAGAGGCGCGUUGGGUGGUCCCGCCCCGCUGUUUAUGGGGCACUGCAUCUGCUGGCCCCGUAUAACCCUCUACCGUCGACCUGUGUGGUCCCACCUUACGUCCGACUUUACAUUCGAUUCACUACUUGCUAAUGGUAGUUGCAUUAGCAUUAGGUGACCGGCUGCGUCUUGGUAUUAUAACCGGCACCGCGUUCACCGGCCUCGGUUCUUGCGUGAUUUUUCAACCGCGAUAUUGGCCCUCGUUCCUUUUCGCUAUGAAUCUGUUCGUUAACCAGUAGGCUGCUUUUUCGACGAGUUUACUCGUCACGAAAAAACGCCAGUACUUACCAACUCGUCAUGUUACAGUUUGCUAUUUAAAUAACAAUUUAAGUGAAAAGUAAAAUACAUUCGUAAGCUUAGGAAUAUUUGAAGGCCAAGACGAAAUGAAAGGGACAAAUAAGAAAAAUUUUUGCCCAGCUGAACAUUUGGUACAUUUUUCUUAAUUGAUAAUUAACAUGUGGAUGGCUACUCCCAGCAGGAUACCAUCUUCGAGUUUUAUUUCUUUAGUGAGAUUCCACGAUUUUCCACUCGUUCUACGGGCUGCUCACAGGAUACAGGAAAAUGUUUGGAAGAAAAGUGAAAUGGUUUGGAAUAUGCAAAUGUAUGUUGCUUUCAUCAAAAAGGGAAAAGUUUAAGAAAGCUUGUUCAAUGAUGUUUCUACUUUCACAUUUAACGACGUUAAAUGAUAAAUCCAUUCAACAACGAUCAGUGUCGUUUACAAGGAAUCUUCAGUUUACAAACUACGUAUUGGCUUGGCAACUAAGUGAUUGCGGAUUUUGUCAUUGGAUGGUAUUGACAUGCUUCUUUGCAAAUAACACGACGGCACAUAAUUUCCAACGGUACCGAGAAACUUGGUCGUGCAGCAACGACCUUAGUUUCACUUUUACCGCACCAUUGCCUCUCUCACUCUCGUAGCUUAAACGAUGUGCAGCCUACACGGUGCACAGUCAUCCGAAAUUCUCGUGGGCAAAAACCCGAAUGAAGAAAAAGUGAGAGAAAAAAGGCAUUUUUCCAGCAGACCAAUUCCAAUAUCGCGUACGAUAUGGUUUGUCGAGACUGAACGAUGCACGUGGUCGUUCGUGGUCGUCGCCGCCUGCAGGGUGAAAAAUACUUGUGCGGCCGAGCGUGCCACGUAAGUAAGUACUCGAUCGGUCUGGCCCGAGAAGGCAUCGAUCUCGCCAUUGAUCGAUCGAUCCGGAGGUCUCGGAUAAGAUGCUGUCGUCGUCCUGGUCUCGACCUGCUCGUCGUUCAACACAGGGUGGACCACACGCGUUGUGUCGCCUCUCUGACCUUCUCUCCGUCUCUCCUUCGCUGCCUCUGCUCUUGGCUCGCUCCGUUCUCUUCUUUCUCUCCUUUCUCUAGCUCUCCUUUCUCUAGCUCCCCUCUGAUUCACCGCUCCACUCUCACUUCGAUUCUCCUCUCUCCUAUCGUUGCUCUCUUUCCUGCCUUUCGCUCGCUACCAUCAUCCAUCGUGAGUCCUUUUUCUUCUGGUUCAACGAUCGUGCACGCGCGCGUCUUGCUCGAAAGGUGGAAGGUGAAAAAAGCGCAGGCUGAAAUAGAGGAAGGACGAAUAAAACGCUGCAUAUUACGUGCAAGCGACCUGAAUUUACAGAAUCUUUUUUUCUUUGCAGUUUCGUUCGAGACUCGGGAAGAAGAGUUGCGAGGAGCGGCCUCUGUUAUUUUAUUCGCACUCCGAUUGCGAUUUUUCCCGAAUUUCGUUUACACGUCGUCUGGUGAAGUAGACCUUGGAAGUUGUAAGAAGAAUCGAGUCGUUUGGUCGAAUUUUCGAGCGGUUAUUCUAUUUUAAAGGGCGCUGGAACACUUUGGUGAGUCGCUGUAGGGUAACCUAACCUAACAUGGAACAGCUGAUCUGAGAAACAUCGUAAAUAGAGCAACAUGCUUUCCUUGCGGCGAGAAUAACGCGACGUUAACACGCGACAAAAUUAAUAGACGCUCGUACGUUGAUUGUUAACUAUGGAAAAGUUGAAGGGUCCUAGAGUAACAGAAAAUGUGAAAUGCUGCGAGUUUAAGAAACGCUACACUUAGGUUAUGUAACACCUGCUAUGCAACACCUAGGAAAUUUGUAAAGAAAUCUCAGGAAACUUUGCUUCUUCUAUGAAAAAUGGAUAUUUAUAUAAAUAAAGAAGGAACAGAUAUGUUGCAAUUUUUAGCUUGUAUUAUAUCACAUUCAUUUUCUUUGUUUCCUACAGGUUUCCUACACCACGAACCUGCAGCACAUUCUUCAUGAUCCCAACGAAAACAGCGAAUACAUCGCACCUAUUUUUCACUAUUAUUCCGUCUAUUGUAAUCCUCACUAUGGAAUGAAUAUAAUCCUCUACCAUCAUCAUCAGUGGCAGCAUCAUUGACAUGUUGCAUGUUGCGUACACUCAACGUGCUCCUUCAUAUUCGGCACGUAGGUAUUUUGACAGAAAAAUAAUAAUAAUACUAGAAAGAAAAUAAACUAAAAUAAGAAUAUAAUAAAUUUCCCUUGGAUGCUGGGAAUAAACAAAUGCGUUUAAUGACAAGUUGUACAAAAGUGGUAUUUUUUAAGGUUUCUUCGCUGAGAAGUCGCCAUUCAACUCACCUCUCAAAAACUUGUAUCCAAACUCGGUCAUCAACUGCAUCCGACAGAUCUCCAAAUAAAAUUCAAACGUGGAUAUUUUUUA